UCAGCAGUUUCUGGCCGCUUUGUUCAGCUCCGUGUGCAUGUGCGCACAGAGCCCGGAGCUCAAUCCAGUUUCUCUGGUUUUUGGAGGCAAAGAUUCCUUCUAGAUACACACUGCUCUCUGAAGAAUGUGACGUGUUUAUGGAACAGAGAACAAAAUCGUAAUGUAGAGAAUACAUGCAGAUCUCAGAUGCCAGUAAUAUCACAGACCUCUGUCACAUGUAUUCAAGAGGAACAGCAGCGCAUAUGUAGGAGCAGAGCCACAUAAGGCAAAGCCACAUGUUUCGGAGGGGCCUGCAUCCAAUAAGGUCUUGUUAAUGGUGCCAGUGCUGCUAACUACUGGAACCUCUUUGAGGAAUAGCUGAGGACUGACUGAAGGACCAGCGCUUUAUAUGCUGAAUUACUCUCACUGCGAGUAAUUCAACCCUUUUGUCUUCAUCAGGCUGGAUUUAUAACCAGGUGAAGUGCUGCCUUAUCAAUCAUGCAUUCAU
Molecule: long non-coding RNA, 487 nt
Organism: Poeciliopsis prolifica (blackstripe livebearer)
Lineage: Eukaryota; Metazoa; Chordata; Actinopteri; Cyprinodontiformes; Poeciliidae
Exons: 4
Source: RefSeq, a predicted model, not a curated record